CCCCACCCCUUUGCCAGCUCCCCUCCGCUGACCCGCUGCCGUUGCAGGUGCACAGCCUGGCGCUGCGCCCCGCCGGCCCCCACCUCCCCGCCCUCGCCAUGAAGCCCCCCGGCGGCCCCCCCCGGGCCGGCCCCCCCCGGGUCCCCCUACCCGAGACCCCCGGCGACCACCUCAAAAAGGCCGAGGGCCCCGAGGCCCGCACCCACCCCCUGGCCCGCGCCGCCGCCCCCGCAGCCGCCCACCCGCUCGUCGCCCCAGCCUACGCCCCGCUGCAGCCGCCCCAGUUCCUGCAGCAGCCGCCGAAGCCGAUGCAGCAGCAGUUCGUCAUCCAGCAGCAGCAGCAGCAGCAGCAGCUGGCGCCCCGCGGGCAGCCCCCCCCGGGGCCAGCCGCCCCCCAGCUCCAGCCGCUGCCCCCUGCCAGCCCCGGCCCGGUCCCCCCGCCCAAAGCAGGGGCCGGCCCGGGGGUCCCCCACGGGGCGGGGGCCGAUGGCGCCGCCCCCAACGGGCACCCCGGCUGCCACGGGGCCCCCCGCAAGUUCCAGCACGCCUCCGCUGUCAUCCUGCAGCUGCAGCCCGCCGGGGCCCUGACGCUGUCCCCGCCGCAGCCCCCGCUCAGCGUCCCCGAGGGCACCCGCCGGGACCCGCCGCCCGCCGAGAGGAGCGCCGAGAGCCCGCCCGCCGCCCCGCCGCAGCCCCCCGCCCUCUCGCCGCCCGCCGCCCCCCCGGGCCCCGAGGCCCCCCCGGGCGAGCGGCCCCCCGCUCACGGUAAGCGCCGGGGGGGGAACUGAGGCACGGGGGGGCGGGGCCGGCACCGGGGCCGCGGGGGGGCUGCGAGGCGAGACCCGAGGGCGCGGGGCUGGGGAUGCCCCGCCCCUCCUCGCAGCCCCGCCCCCUCAUUUACAUAGCCACGCCCAUCGCCCGC
This 922-nucleotide long non-coding RNA is filed under the name Anser brachyrhynchus (Pink-footed goose). RNAcentral describes it as "lncRNA (ENSABRG00000019835.1)". Lineage: Eukaryota; Metazoa; Chordata; Aves; Anseriformes; Anatidae. The record is from RNAcentral.